CAAGCAUGCUGCAAGGCACUAAUCCCUAAUCCAACACAAGUAUACGGACCUCUCUUGACUCCGCAGCUUGGUACUGAAGAGCAGGGAGGGCUGAAGAAAAGGAGAAAGCCAUUUCUUGAAGUAAGGAACAGGAUACUCAACAGUCCCCAAGCACCAGUGGACAAGUGAGGCUUAUAUUUGAUGCAGAAUGUCUCCAAGCACACCACAAUAGCAACAGAAGAGCCAACAGUUAUAUGUGUAUUACAAACACAUGGCACUUGCCUGGCCUUCUCCAGCUGGAGACUCAUCCUGGGGUCUAUGGGGGAGAAAAAGAAAGAUAUCUGAAAUCUUAAAUAGGCAAAGCAAGAUUUAUGAGUGAACAGAUUCACUUCCAAGAUGAAACAGAAAAACAUCUGCAAGAUGAGAAUUUACUUGCGUUAUUAGUGCUAUUCUUUCUGCACUGAUGAGUAGUAGAGAUAAUCCCAUCCAUUACAGACGUCCGUAACUUUGCUAGCAGACAUUCUAACUCCUUGGAGAUGCCAGCACAGAUCCUGCACCACUGCAACAACUCAAAAUAAAAAACAAUAGAAUAAAAAUAGACAAUGAUGUACUUCAGGACAGCAUUCAGCAUAGUUCAUAGAUCAUUACUGCCAGCGAUUUGUUUUGAUCUCAUUUAUGCUGCCUUUACGCAGACGUAAUUAAAGGGAUAUAAGAAUCCUUGAAAUGAAUGGAUUCUAGUAGUGAGUGUGGUUAUAUCAGAAAAAAACCUUCUCUGUAGUGUGUAAGUGUUUUUCAGCAUGGUGAACCCAAUGAUCCAAUAACUUUUACUGACUUUUUUCAGAGGGGCUUUCCAAUCAUAAAAUGCUUUUCCAUCAAAACUGAGAUUUUAAAAAAAUUUAGUUUGAUAAAAACAGGCUCAAAUUCAGGGGGAAUGUUUCACUAAGAACUCUGGUUUUAUUUUGCUUCAGUUCAAUUUCUUCAGACCAUUUCAUCUUUAACCGUACAAUUUACAAUAUGUGUGUACGAUUUAAAAUAUGUCUGCUUUUCUUAUAACAUUCUGGCAUGAUCAAAGUGGAAUAUUUUAAAGUGGCCAUUUUGCAGUCUUAAAAACAAAACAUUUUUAAAAUGAAAUUCCAAUGUCACAGCUUUGACCUUUGUCCCCAUUCAAAGUGAAAACCAUUCCUGUACGUCAGAGUUCCCUGCAGGACUGGGUGACUGUGUCCGUACAGCAAGCAAAGCCCCACCUAUCAUUCUCAGCAACUGAACUCCUGGUUGCUUUGAAAACAGGACUGGUAUACUUUCAGGAGGAGAAUUAAACAAAGUUAAAGUCAUCAAUAAUUUACAAGUUGUUUAUAGACCAGAAACACCUUCUAUGUGUUAAUUAACAUCUCUUUCUUGGGAAAAAAAAAAAAAAAAUCUAUCAUACGAUAGGAUUACAGAAUCAUUAGGUUAGAAAAGACCUCUAAGCUCAUACAGAAGUCCAACCACCACCAGCCCACUCCCACCAUGCCCACUGACCACAUCCCUCAUCUCCACAGCUCUUGAACACUUCCAGGGAUGGAACACUUCCCUGAGCAGCCUGUGCCAAUACUGGCACUUGGCAAAGUACCAUGUUCUGCAGCAGCAGAAGAGUGCACUGCGCCUGCUGGCUAGUGGAAAUGGUGAACACUGACUUCCAAGGGUAGGUCUACAAAUGUAUGAGAGGAGGAUUUUGAAAAAGGCUGGAACAACAAAGCCAAGCAGCACUGUUUCAGACCAGUGCCAUGAACUGUUACUUAAUGCUCAGCUAUGUUUCCUUUACAGAUGUUCUGAUGAGGUCAGGGUAACAUGUACAUGUGAGUCAUCCCCAUAUCAUGCCUAAGAAUAUUUAUUAGCACUGUGUAUGUACCUAGGGAUUUCACAAACAAAAUGUCAGGUCAUUUUUUUUUUUUGUAGAGAUGGAUAGAGAAGUGUAAGAAUGAAUUUUACACUUGGAAGCAUUUUUCAGCCUCAAAACCAAGCUGACUUGGGACCAAAAAGAGAAAAUUUCCCCAGCUUGACCGCAAGCAGACUCCAUCCUGGCACUGCCAUAGUCAUCUAUCAUCAGAAAUAAAUGUUUUUUCCAUUCCCCAUAGCAAGAGGCCUUUUUAGUGCUCUGUAAUCAUUAAUGGCCAAGCCUGGAUGGAAUGCAUUUGGGCUCUCCACACUUCACAGUGUCCCACAGAGCCCUGGGCUUGCUGGGGAAGACUUCUUCCCACCUGCCUGGGCCGUGCCACUGCUGGUGGUGAGGCUGAGGAGACAUCCACUUGGCCUCUUGGGCAAAAGGACUUGAGAUUUUCAAAGAGGUUAAGUGGAUGUCUGGGCCCAACUCCAGCUGAAAUUUGGGUGUCUGCCUCUCUGUGGCUUGUCUGAAAAUCCCAGGCUAAUAUGUUUAGUGUUGUAGAAAUAUUCUGACUUCAAAAGAGCACGAUAUGCAACCAUAACCACUCAGGGGUUCUGAUGCUGAUAAUACAGUACUUAGAGGGGACUGUUCAUGCUAUCCAGGAUGAUAAUACCAGAAUUCACAAGAAAGAGCUGUGAGCCUCUAGCACUUACCAGCUGUAAUACCGAACAGAUUACACAGGAAAAUCAGGCAAAAAAAAGUAAUAUGCUUUCACCUCACAGCAAGAAACGCUGAAGUUCAGGAAGAGGAAAUGUGUAUUAAGAGAGCAGGUUAAAAAUCUACAUUAUCCCAGACUUUCAUGAAAUCAAAAUGAUAGGCACGAUGCUAAGUUAUUAUAAUGUAUUUAUUACCAGAAUUGCUUUCAUAUUUAACUGAUUUGGCCCAUCUUGAGACCUGUUUUAAAAUGCACCACCUUGUCCACCUUUCCAUUUUCAUAUGAAAAACAGGAAAGCAAAAACUAAUUUACUCAGGGAGACACACCGACUGUUUGCCCGUUUAUCUCUUACAGACCACCCCUCAGUCCAAUGUUGACAGUACAUGAUAUUCCAUUAAUCUGCCUAAUGAAAAUUUAACCAGUGUUAUAAACAAAUAAUUGGCUAUUAUCCUCUCAAAGAUCCCGAAUAAAUUACUUCUGCUUAUUUUUUUUCCUCUUCUCUCUCUCUAUCUUGUCCCCCCCCUUCUGCCCCCAUGAAAAAUCUGUCUUCUGAUUGAUGUUGAAAAAAAAAAAACAACCCUAUGGCUGCCAAUGCUACCACUGAAACCUGGGAUGGGCUUAAGGAGAUGCUCGAGGAGUGGUCCUGCCUGCAGUUCUUUAGGCAUGAUGCUUUUUGAAUGGGACCUGAGCAGUGCAGGCUGGGGCUCUGCUCACAGCCCAUCUCCCUGUGGCUCUGCAGUGCCUCCAAUUACAUCCCCAUUCCGUCUCUGAAGCCACACAGUCACAGUCACAUCUCUUUCCUCACCUCUUGUGCUGGUCUCUCAUUUUUCCUCCGGUGCACACGCACUGUGGCAGGGUAGGGUGUUUUCCCUUUAACAUCCAAACAGCGUGAACUGUAUCUUCAUUUAGAGCAAUUAAAGUGGAGAGGGAUUUUAAUGUAAUGAAUCAUCCAAGCAGUUAUUCAGUAAAUGCUACAAUGAUCCUUCUGUCACUGGCCAUGUGGUUCUGCCUGGAAAAGCGCUGGCUCCACUCCUCCUCCUUAUAGGUGACAGCAGGAUCCCAGCACCAGCACUGCCACAGCUUUGCACGAUGCCCAGCGUCCUGCACAGCAUCCCAGCACCCCAUCACAGCAUCUCCUCCAUCCUCACUGACCAGUUGGGCAGUGCAAAACCUCUGUACAAGCCAAGGGGGUGCACUGAGCUUCUGUUUACCACCUGGGAGAUGUGAAUCACAAACAGUUUUUCAGGAUUUCUCCCAAACACUUUGCACAGAUCCUUACCUCUCUUUUAGGCCGUUCUUCCUUGCUGAACCACCUCAGCAUUCACUGACACUUCAGUACAGAGCUGAAUAAUUAAUUUUUUUUUAAUUUUCCAUCCGAUAGAUGUACAGGCAGAAGAAAAAAAAAAGUCUAAAUAAAAAACCUUCCCAAUAUUUGGCAAAUCUGAAUAAUUAAUUUCAGUUUGGAGAUUCUUUUGUUUCUUUACUUUUAAUAAAAGGAAGGCGUUGGCUUCUCAGGAGAACUUGGCGCCAUUCAUAAAUCCAGCGAGGAGGUGGAGGAGGAGCAGUGGUUACACAGACUCUCCUCAGUAGGCCAACUGCUGGAGCUCAGCUCUCUGGAGGUUAUUGCCACCAUGGUAAGAAGAGCAGCAACCCUCUACAGCAAGAAGGUGCUCCUUCUCAACCUACUAUGGUCUACAGCCAAGUAUAUUUCACUUCUGGUGUCUUCUUAUAUAGCCAGGCCAUGAAGGUCUGUGCAUUUCAUCACCCCUGUUGUGGAACUUUGUUGUCAGCUUGCUGGAUGUGAGAAUGUGUUCACCAGAACUAGCGUGGAAAGAGGAAUCAUUUCUUCCUAAAGAAAAUUCCUAAAGAAGAAGAGCUGCUCUUACUGCUUGUCUGUUGAUUUGGGUUUUCCAUCUGUGUCUUUCCACAGCCAUGCUGUGCUGUCCCCAGAAUGGGCAGGAAAACUGGGACCCUCCCAUUUGGAGCAGGAAAAUGAGACGGAAACCAGCCCUGCAUUUAUCUGAAAGUGCUCAAAUUAAGGGUAGAAAUAAGAUUUCUACAAUAAUGACAAAUUAAUUCUUCCUUUCAUAAUUUUAUUAAAAUAAGCAUCUUCUAUCUUUUAACUAGACCUGACAUAUGCUUACAUAGAUACAACACACCAUGUAACCUAAUCUGCGAGCAAUCUUGAAGCAAUUAACUCCUUCUAAUCUUUAGCUAACAAAGCCCACCAUGCAAAAGGUCCCCAGAGAAUGGCACUCCAAAGGCCGCCCUAAGCUCCCUCCACUAUUCCUCUAUUAUUCGGUGUGCAGGAGCUCAUUGGGGUGCUCGGAGAGCAGGGAUUCGUUUGAAACAACAAAGAUGAAUCAUCACAGAUCAUAAGAUCUUCAUUAACUCCUUAUUUCUCUACUAAUUAACACAAAAGGAAUGACUUGAAUGGUUGACAGGCAGCGAAUGACCCACAGCUCAGUGGUUAAUAGGAUGCAAAUGAUGCCUAAUGAGGGUCUCUAGCUGCUGUCUGGGCAUCUGGCCUACUAUUUUUGUUGGGGAUUCAGAAUGGGCUUCAGAUGAAAACAGUUCAACCAAUAACAUCGGCUGCAGCUGAGUUCUUACCAAAGUUUAUGGAUUUAUGAGUCCAGUAUAAAUGAGAAUUAGCUUAAACCACUCAUCAACAGGUUUGCAUCCACACAAUGCAACUCCCGGACGAGAAGCCUGUACCUUUCCACGAGGCACAGCAGCCACAGUUCAAUAUUUUAAAGAUCUGUUGUUUGUUUUUUUUUUUUCCUUCAUACUGAAUGUAUGUUACUUUAUAAAUUCCUAGCAAACGGUACGCAAAGCAGACGGAUGCAGAAUAACACUGAUGCAGGCCUUUACAACAAUUCUUUUCAACUCUGUGUCCCCCUUUUUGGAUACAAAACAAACCUGGGUGCUCCAUCCGUUUCUCCAGAAGCUGCUUCCAGCUGAGGCUUUAAAACCCAUCACGGUUAAUUAGCAGGCUGCCGUGACGAGACAGUGCUGCCGGCACCUCCAGCAGCCCCUCACCCCCUCCUGGAAUCUUUCUGAGCAGUCUUAAGUUGAGCUUUGGAUUCAGUCGCUUCUGUGGGAUCCUAUCCCCAGCCCCUCACCCUGCUCCCGGCAGCACCCCCGCACCAACAGCACUGCUCUCCUGAUGCUGCAGGGCUGGGAAAUGGCGUCAGAACAAGGGAGUGCUCCUAUCUCUGAAGAUUCUUGUACAAAUUUGGUUUAUCUUUUCUUCUUUCUGCAUUAAAACCAAGAGAACAGGCUUGCUAUUGAGUUGCUAUUAUUUGAAAUACUGCCUUUCAUUCUCCUAGCCAAGCGCUGAGCAUGACCGGGAAGUGAAAUAGAUCUGAAGGACUUGAAAUGAGAAGUGAAAUCUAUUUUCAUUAUGGAGGUGGAUUAAUAUGUAAAAAAUAAAUGGAGUCACUUAUUGAAAAAUAUAAAAUUGGAAUGCAAUGAUUUUCUUCCCAAACUAUAAAUCGUUGUACUCCUUUGACAAAGGCAAACAUGGAAUAUGUUCCCGGGUCCUGGUUUUGAAACAUAAUAGUUUCCACUUUGUUUUGUUCAAAGACAUUUGAGCAGAAAAUGCCUUUUCUUUGCUGUAAGCUGUACGGAAUAAAGAGGAAAAAUCCUAUUCACACUCCCUGCUUUACCUACGAGCUGUCUCUGCACACCGCUUACGUUUCCUAUUACUGUCAGCGAGCAUCCAGGAAGUGUCAGCCUAAGACCAUUCAGCCAUACAUCAUCCCACCCCACUGGAUGCCUUCCAUGUGGAGCCGAGAAGCAGAGUGUGCAAGUACUGCUGUGCAAUAGGCAUGCAGAAGCAUCACCUUUGCUGGACAUGGGCUGCUCAUCCCGAGGCACUUAAAGGAUUAACGAAAUGAAAUUGUUUUUGGACUUGCUGCACUCUUGCUUAUCUUUUAAAUCCAUAAUGUCCCACAGAAGGCAAAAUGUAGUAAUUUUAGUCAGCAGCCUCUCAUUAAUUUUCUACCUUUGGGGGAACAUACGUUUAUAGAAAGAAGGGUUGUGUGGAGGCUGAGCUCAUCGCAUCACUUUGCACUUGAAGAGCUCAGCAUGGCACAGAGGAGACAGGAAUGUAACAUGCCUCAAAUUAAGGCUUUCUCAGGCUGGAUGCGUAUCUGCAGACAAACCUAUCUUCAUACACGUAUAUUUUAUAUACUUAUAUGUAUUUAUACACACACGUAUAUACAAACCUAUAGAGUCAUCAGUUUUGAAGAUAAUCUUUUAGGUUAAGUAUUUUCCCACAUUAAACUGAUAAUUAUCCCCUCCUUUUCUUUCUCUGUCCCCAGACACCAAACAAGCUGGAUUUUUGCUUCAUGUAUUAUUUAUGGCGUGGAAUUAAUAUGCAGAUUCACAAAAACUUAAAAACUCAUAAUUAUUCAUAAAGGGCUUUAAGGUUAUUUAGUACAUAUUUAUGAAACUUUAUGUUUGCUAGGAACUGUGUUUGAAAGUGCUAUGGAAGGGUGUUGACUGAGGUUAAUUACUAGCAUGGAGAGUAAUCUGAAAAUGAUCAAACUCUUUGAAUGAAAAUAUUUGUCAGUAUUUCUGAUCUAUAUUUAAGUGAAGUAAUGGACAUCAAUAGCCUCGCAAAUAUAUUCAGAAAUGGCUCUGCAAGAAAGGAGAUUUGCAUAUCUAAUGCAAACAACCAAUGAGGAAAAAUGUCUAGUUAGACACCUUUGAUCGCUCAGCAAAUGUAAUAAAUGAUAGAGAUUUAUCCUGCUUGUUGUCCAUCCGUGUUAUGUUGAGUUAUGUUCUUAUACAAAUAUGCUCUCAUCUAGAAAAUAUUAGCACUGAUUUAAGGUAGCCAGAAUCCUCCCCUCUUUUCUGGAAUAGGGCUCAGAAAUUAGGUGUGAGCUGUUUGUGAUAGCCCAGGUUUCUGCAGAAGUUACUUAGGGUAAGUACAGGCUGUAUGUAAAUAAUACAUUAUAUUGGUUUUAUAUUUACAUAACUCUUUCAAUCUUAUGCAUAAUUGACUUUCUUUCUAAUCCAUUGUGUGCAAAGGUUGAAAACCUAUAAAAUAUGCCACGGGUUACGCUGUAGCAAACAAGCAGCACUGGCAGCAAUUGAAGAAGGCAAGAAACACCCAAAAUAUAAUUACAGCUCUGUUCCUACCAAGAGAUAUAAAUAUGCUUAAGUUUACGACCUUGACUGGUCCUGUGACACGUGCACGUGAGCUGUGGUCAGUAGCAGUAGUCGUAUCUCAGCACAGGACACCUAGUGCUGAGUGUCUAGAGUCUGGAGUGGCUCUAGAGACACUGUUCAUGCUCAUCCUUUGGUGUUUGAAGGCAUAGGCAUCGCGAUGUUUUGUGCUCAUUUACAAGGAUUCGGUCAUCUCCUUUAGUCUACAGGUAAAUGUGCUUACAUCCCCAGACAGGCUACAUAACCAUAUACCCUUGGUUAUAUGAGCAGCUCUGUCACAGCUCAAGUAGGUUGCUCUUUGGGGGCUGUAGGUAUAACAACAGUAUUCAUGAGCGCAGACCACCUUUCCAACAAAGGUUGCUGGAAAUACAGAUUGGUGUCACGUUCUUUCAUCCUUGGCUUGGUUCUGAUGGUGCAAUGGGCUUUGUCAGCAAUUGCUGAUGCUGUGUCUCCUCGGUGGUCUCCAGCAAGACUCUGCUUGGUGCUCGGGAUUUCACUUUCCCUGCCCUCCUCUACAGGUGGGUUUGCCUGGUUCACUCUCUGCAGCACAGUGGAUCCAAAUAGCAGGAGGCAAGUGCAUGACAUCUGCAACCACUGGUGUGAAAGAUUCACCUUCUUUAUUAACACUGAAACUGGAAAGAUGAAAUAUUAGCAUGACAAGAGCCAACGAUGGUUGUAUUUCUGCUGUUAAGGGAGAUUGUUAAAAAAAAAGGUGGCAUUGCUGCAGGGAUCAGGUUGGGUAUCCUGGGAUUCCUCAGCCGCAUCUCUAGGGGCACAUGGGAGCCCUGAGUCCAUCAGCACCUUUGCUUCUUCAUCCUAGCUCUGCCUCCUGGGGGCCGGCUCUGUAUCUCAGUUCCAUUCUGGGCUAAAAUCACAUAGUGCAGGUCAAAUAACCAAGCCUGGGCCUCUCUGUUCUGCCCCAGCCCUAUUCUCAGUCUCUGGAGCACAGCUAUCGGGAUGGGUCCAGGAGGGCAGGGGGACAGCUGAGCCCUCAGCAACACAGGGACCAUCAGACGGUCUCUUUCUCGAGCUCAUCAUGGAGCAGCAGUCCCUGUCAAAGAUAUUUUGAAAUAAAUGGAACAAUAAUAUAGCCAUAAUAGUUGCCCUAAGUGCAAUGACU
Molecule: long non-coding RNA, 8850 nt
Organism: Gallus gallus (chicken)
Lineage: Eukaryota; Metazoa; Chordata; Aves; Galliformes; Phasianidae
Source: Ensembl